RNAcentral lists this ribosomal RNA (253 nucleotides) under uncultured bacterium. Its description in RNAcentral is "partial 16S ribosomal RNA". It matches the Rfam family "Bacterial small subunit ribosomal RNA", at positions 524 to 776 of the family's 1533-position model. The record is from RNAcentral.
UACAGAGGUCCCAAGCGUUGUUCGGAUUUACUGGGCGUAAAGGGUGCGUAGGUGGCGAGGUAAGUUCGAUGUGAAAUCUCCGAGCUCAACUCGGAAAUGGCAUUGAAUACUAUCCCGCUUGAGGGUCGGAGGGGAGACUGGAAUUCCUGGUGUAGCGGUGAAAUGCGCAGAUAUCAGGAGGAACACCAAUUGCGAAGGCAGCUCGCUGGGACGUAACUGACGCUGAGACGCGAAAGCGUGGGGAGCGAACAGG